GUGGGGAAUAUUGCGCAAUGGGGGAAACCCUGACGCAGCGACGCCGCGUGAGCGAAGAAGGCCUUAGGGUUGUAAAGCUCUGUUUUAAGGGACGAAUGUCGUGGGGAGUAAUAUGCUCUGCGAAUGACGGUACCUUAAGAGGAAGCCCCGGCUAACUACGUGCCAGCAGCCGCGGUAAGACGUAGGGGGCGAGCGUUGUCCGGAAUUACUGGGCGUAAAGAGCACGUAGGCGUGAACUUAAGUCAGGUGUGAAAGACCGGGGCUCAACUCCGGGGUUGCACUUGACACUGGGUGUCUUGAGGGCAGGAGAGGAAAGCAGAAUUCCUGGUGUAGCGGUGAAAUGCGUAGAAAUCAGGAGGAAUACCAGUGGCGAAGGCGGCUUUCUGGACUGACCCUGACGCUGAGGUGCGAAAGCGUGGGUAGCAAACAGGAUUAGAAACCCUGGUAGUCC
This 451-nucleotide ribosomal RNA is filed under the name uncultured bacterium. RNAcentral describes it as "partial 16S ribosomal RNA". It matches the Rfam family "Bacterial small subunit ribosomal RNA", at positions 354 to 796 of the family's 1533-position model. The record is from RNAcentral.